This 253-nucleotide ribosomal RNA is filed under the name uncultured bacterium. RNAcentral's name for it is "partial 16S ribosomal RNA". It matches the Rfam family "Bacterial small subunit ribosomal RNA", at positions 524 to 776 of the family's 1533-position model. The record is from RNAcentral.
UACGGAGGGUGCAAGCGUUAUCCGGAUUCACUGGGGUUAAAGGGUGCGUAGGCGGGCAUUUAAGUCAGUGGUGAAAUACCUGAGCUUAACUUGGGAACUGCCAUUGAUACUAUUUGUCUUGAAUGUCGUGGAGGUUAGCGGAAUAUGUCAUGUAGCGGUGAAAUGCUUAGAUAUGACAUAGAACACCUAUUGCGAAGGCAGCUAACUACGCGAAUAUUGACGCUGAGGCACGAAAGCGUGGGGAUCAAACAGG